CUGUUUAGCCGAGGAGGGAUCUUUACCGAGUUACACUCCCAAACCCAAUGUGAACGUUACCAAACUGUUGCCUCGGCAGUUCUCUGCCCCGGGUGCGUCGCAGCCCCGGACCAUGCGCCCGCCGGAGGACACCUAAAACUCUUAUCGAUACCUCUCGCGGGUUUUCUAUAAUUGAGCCUUUCGGCGCCUUCGAGGCGUUUCGAAAACUAUCAUACUCCAAAACGGAUCUCUCGGUUUGGCAUCGAUGAAGUCGCAGCGAAGUGCGAAUGUAACUGAACCGAGCAUUAGUGUUUCAUCGAAUUUUUGAACGCACAUCGACUCGCCAGUAUUUGGCGGGCUGCCUGUCCGCGCGUCACCAAACUCUGAAUUUUCCGAAAAUCGGCGUUGAAGAUGGCUUUUUUUAGCGAUGGCCUCUCGAAAACAGUGGCGGUCUGCCGCAGCUUUUCUGCGCAGUAGUUUGCACACUCGCAUCGGGAGCGCGGCGCGUCCACAGCCGUUAACACCCAACUUCUGGAUGGUGACCUCGGUAUAGGUAGGGAUACCCGCUAAAUUAUCCU
Molecule: ribosomal RNA, 557 nt
Filed under: Trichoderma harzianum
Lineage: Eukaryota; Fungi; Ascomycota; Sordariomycetes; Hypocreales; Hypocreaceae
Description: eukaryotic LSU rRNA
Rfam family: 5.8S ribosomal RNA (bases 211-355)
Source: RNAcentral